CCGCCGAACUUAAGCAUAUCAUUAAGCGGAGGAAAAGAAACUAACUAGGAUUCCGUCAGUAGGGGCGACCGAAGCCGGAAAAGCCCAGAAUGGUAAUCUCCAGCCUGCGGCUGGCGAAUUGUAGUCUGAAGUGAGUUGACAUAACGUGAUCUGACGCAGAAGUGGUCGUGAGAGGCCUGCCAAAGAGGGUGAGAGCCCCGUCUGUAGUGUCGGAUCGUACCGUGUCUUCUUACAAAGAGUCGUGUACUUUGAUACUGGUGCACCAAGUGGGAGAUAAACUUCUUCUAAGGCUAAAUACAUGUGGGAAACCGAUAGCGAACAAGUACUGUGAAGGAAAGAUGAAAAGUACCUUGAAAAGGGGGUCAAAAGACUUGAAAUCGUUGGGGCGGAAGCGGUAGAAAUUUAUUCUUCGCGGAGCACGUUGUGCAAAGUUGAGAGACAGGAUGGAGUGGAUAGAGAUCAGAGGGUGCGUACGACCCGUAACUUUGUUGCAAUCGUAUGUAUUCCGGACCUCUGUCGGCUUGAGGGGCUUAUGCGAUCCUGUCAAAAUGGUUUUUACCGGCUCGUCUUGAAACACGAACCAAGGAGUCUAAGACUCACGCGAGUAUGGUGGUGGAAAAACCAACAUGCGAAAUGAAAGUAAUUGAUGCCAAGGCAACGGCAGCAUCGACCGACCAUGAUCUAUAAGAGAAAGGUUUGAGUAAGAGCGUGAUUCUAAGGA
This 721-nucleotide ribosomal RNA is filed under the name Leegaardiella sp. LS803. Its description in RNAcentral is "LSU rRNA". It matches the Rfam family "Eukaryotic large subunit ribosomal RNA", at positions 25 to 814 of the family's 3401-position model. Lineage: Eukaryota; Ciliophora; Spirotrichea; Choreotrichida; Leegaardiellidae. The record is from RNAcentral.